This 301-nucleotide ribosomal RNA is filed under the name uncultured bacterium. Its description in RNAcentral is "partial 16S ribosomal RNA". It matches the Rfam family "Bacterial small subunit ribosomal RNA", at positions 512 to 808 of the family's 1533-position model. The record is from RNAcentral.
CAGUCCCGCGGUAAUACGGAGGGUGCAAGCGUUAAUCGGAAUUACUGGGCGUAAAGCGCACGCAGGCGGUCUGACAAGUCAGAUGUGAAAUCCCCGGGCUUAACCUGGGAACUGCAUUUGAAACUGUCAGGCUGGAGUCUUGUAGAGGGGGGUGGAAUUCCAGGUGUAGCGGUGAAAUGCGUAGAGAUCUGGAGGAAUACCGGUGGCGAAGGCGGCCCCCUGGACAAAGACUGACGCUCAGGUGCGAAAGCGUGGGGAGCAAACAGGAUUAGAUACCCGCGUAGUCCCUGUCUCUUAUACC